Thunnus maccoyii (southern bluefin tuna) is the source of this 3859-nucleotide long non-coding RNA. RefSeq lists it as uncharacterized. The record is from RefSeq and is a predicted model, not a curated record. NCBI's taxonomy places the organism in Eukaryota, Metazoa, Chordata, Actinopteri, Scombriformes, Scombridae. The transcript has 4 exons.
GCUGAAACUCAAGAGUUUUCAUAAUGAAUGCCCAUUGGAAGCAAAAGCAAGCAGUUGAAGAUAUAGCUAAGAUACACAUACACUGAUAUAGAUGUCAGAGAUAGGCAGCUGUAACCUGAGAAGGAACGAGGAAACCUGGCCAGCAGGAUGAAGGACACAGAAGAAAGUUUUGAAAAUAAUCAUUGAGUUUGUUCACUAAAAGGCUGCAUUUAAAUGAAAAUAAUCAUGUGAAAGUCCAAGGAAACAGCUAUAUGAGCAAGCAGCAAAAUGUUUAACACUAAGAAACCACAUUUGUUUAUAUUUUAUUCUUUAAGUGAACUUUAAGUGCUCUGUGUACAGGAUCUCUAGUUUUGCAUGGCACUGAUAGGUGCUGUGAAUGUCAGAGUGAUUUUCAUCUGAGCUGAGACGAAUUCCUCCUGCCUGACUCGGUGGGAAUUAAAAGGAACUUGAACUUGAAAUAGUCUCAUUGCUGGAAAGCUUAAAGCCCACAUAGAAAUGAAGAGAGUUGGACCUGUGGUGUGACUUUCUUUGCCUGUGAAAAUCAUCCAAGAGAGCCGUUCAGUGAACCAGCAGUAAAAACUUUCCACGAGUAAUGUCUCGCUGUCUCCUCACCUCGCUCUUUUCUCUGGCCUCCUGGUCUCGAGUCAGUGGGUCAAUAUUUGCCUUUAACUUUUGACCUGUGUGUUUACCCACGUUUUUACUCAAUUACUGCCAUCACUGCAGUCGAGCUUGGAGAGACCAUUAAGCCGAGGAACCAAAAAUCCUGUGUCAGGAAGUCAGAGAAAGCAAAGAUUGAGGGAGCUGUGUAUUUUUUAAUGACAUUUCAUGAUAUGUAGUGAUUUAUAGGCUAAUACUUUUAUGGAAAAGAUGUUGGGGAGAUUAACAUAUUUUCUAGAGCCACAGUGUAGCUUAGCCUAUUUACUGUAUCUUUGUAUGUUGCUGUGCCCUUCAGCAAUUUAGUAGUUCUUGUAGUAGUAGUAUUACAAUGCAUGCUACUCUAAUGUGGAUCAAUUCACCUUAGCAUUUGACAAAAUAUGCUUACACUUUACAUUAUGGUACAUAGAAUUUUGUGUAGUCAUGCAGGAACAAAUCGUGACCUGACUAGCAGUUAGCUGUCUUUGGUUUUAAGGAAGUGACUGUGGAUCCCCAGUAAAAAGUAAUUGCUAGCUAAAACUGGCUACUCCUCAGUUUGGACAAACUUAAGGUGACACAAAAAAUGGUUGGGAAUAGUGAUCAUGAAGUAAUGGGGCAUUCUUGACUUCUUACCUGAGAUGGCACAAAAAUAGUAGGUAAUAUUGGAGUAAUUCAAAUUUGAUGAGUCAUUAGCUUUGUCAGCCGCUAACUCAUUAGAUUCACAGUUACAUGAACAAAUCAUUACGUCUGUAAGUAACUUCAUUAUCUAUUAGUCCUCAAUUCAGAGUUAUUUAGGAGUUACAUAUUAGUGAUUCAUUAAUUUUCAGCUAGUUGAUUACUGCCCACAUCUCCAACUGUACAGCUGUGAUGCUCAUUGACGGCUGUGGACAAACAAUUGGCCAGUUUUGUAGGUUGUGAUCAAGAAUGGGCAUGUCACCUUCCUUUAUAGCUAGCUAACUACAUCCAUGACAAAUAGCAACAGGUAAAUUGCCACAAAAAUGGUGACCAACAAAACAACCCUCUACCAAAUACAAAAUGGCUAACUGCUCCUUACCCCUUAGUAACUUCUAAAAUUGUACAAAAUAUUUCAUGUCAGUUGAGAUGUCCACUAUGUGUUUCUAUCUCAGGCUCUUUCUAUGGCUGUGAAGUCUGCCCAUGUAAUGACUACAACUACACCUGCUUUUACAGCUACAACUACUGCACCUACUCCCACUGCAGCCACAAGCAGCCAAAAUGGUGUCCAGUCCUUUGGGGUAAAAACAGCUCCAUUUAUCAUUGAGUGAAGUUGCAUGAAAGUUAAAAAAAAAUUCUUUGUUACCAGUGGGCCUUGUGGCAAAACAUGUAAAAAAAAUUCUUUGGUACCAGUGGGACUUGUGGCAAAACAGUCUGAAUAUUCAGUAUCAUCAAGGAUUUAGGAAAUAUGUCUUGGUACUAACUUAUUCUAUUCAUUACAGCCAGAUGGUGGCAAUUAUCAAAAUUACGUGACACAGACUCAUCCCCCUUAUUAGGAAAACUACAUAACCACAGCACAAACAACUAGCACUAACACUGCCUGAACUGCUAUUACUGCAGUUACAAAUACCACCACUACCACAUAUAUCACAUGUCCAUGUGCAUACAGUCUGCUGUUAAUAAUCCAGACUGCUGUGACCUGCUUUAAAUACAUCCCCAGACUAAUAAGCUCAUUACUACUCCCCUGUAAGAGCAGUGGGUCAGGAGUUCUGCACACACACUCACAACCACACAAAAGAUACACACCGUAAUAAUGUGCAAAAACACAUGUAGUACAUACAGUAUACACAAAUGCAUGCAAGGGACGCACCCUUGCACACAGUCUACAUGCCUUUGCAAUAACAAGAUCCCUCUCGCCUGCAUGCCUCACAUGCAGACAUGGAUGCACGCAGAAAUGCAUGUACACACAUACACACACACACACAUUUCCUGCUACCCAUCCAUCUGUACAUCCAUUCAUCCUCAGCUUUACAGUCACUCAUAACGAAACUGUUUGUGUAAAAUUAGAAGUGAAACCACAUCCUCUCUGAUUGAAUCUGUGGACCUGCUGGUUCUGCUGGGUGGCUGUGCAAACAAACUGAGCGGGCCCAUUACAGCUUGGCUCCUCUGUGGCGUCACAACACACACACACACACACACACACACACACACACAGGAACACAGGAACACCUAAAAACACACACACCUAAAGUCAUUUAGAAGUUGCAUUCAUUGGGAUGAAAUCCUACACCGUUAUCUCUAAUCUUUAUAUCUAGAGCUAAUCAGCCACACACACACACACACACACACACACACACACACACACACACAACACAUAUACACACAUAAUGACUCCAUUCCUCAAAUCAUCCCAUCAUUCCACUGGUCCAGGGACAGAAGCAAAGCAAAGGAAAGCUCGAAUAGUAGUAGUAGUAGUAGUAGUAGUAGUAGUAGUAGUAGUAGUAAUAGUAGUGUGAGAUGGUUAUGGUCCUGGAAAACCUCAUACAGAGAAGGUUGGGGCAAAUAGUUUGCCUGCAGUUUUCAUCCCAUUUCCUGCCAACAGUCAGUGUUGUUUUCUUUUAACCAUGAGCACAAUCAUUCCUCAAUCUUAACCAGUUUUUUUUUCUUAAACUCAACUGAACCUAAACCAUAGUGAUGGCAGAUCAAAAAACAAUCCAAUCAGUAAUUUUUGUAACAGUAAUUUGUAACUGUUUUACAUGACUGCUUAAUAGUUUUUUACAGUGUUGUCCUGAUGAUAGCAGCUCCGGAUCAGAGUUGUCAGCAUCCUCCCUUUUUCAUUUCCUCGUUGGACUGUUUUCUCUGCUGAUGUUGCUCCUCACUGCUCAGCCCAGAAGGGUGACCGUUGUCGGGCAUGCUGUGUAGGGCCAGACUGGCAGUACUGAUGGAGGUCUCCCGCCCUCUCCGGUCACAUCAAUCUGCUCUGGCAUCUUCUCCUCAGGGCGUAUAGAACGCCCUGUGCUGGAUCAGAAUAAAACUAAAUGUUUCUUGCAGAGGUCUGAGAAUGCAGCAAUAAUGCUAAAAAGAAGUCAGAAGGGUCAAGAAAAACAAGCGGUUUGACAAUUGGCAGCCUUUUCAAAGAAGUUCCAUGUUGACCCAACUUGUCUGGAAGAGAGAAGAAAACACAAUGACCUGUGUGGCCACCGCAGCUCCCCUGUGUCAGGGCUACACGUCACGGAAAGAGGACCCAUCACGGCACUUCACCUGCUGUUCCCAG